Molecule: transfer RNA, 86 nt
Filed under: Streptomyces omiyaensis
Lineage: Bacteria; Bacillati; Actinomycetota; Actinomycetes; Kitasatosporales; Streptomycetaceae
Description: tRNA-Arg
Source: RNAcentral
GCGGAUGCGGGCGGGGACUCCGGCGCGGGGCCGGACUCCGACUCCGGCUCGGACCCGGACUCCGGCUCGGACCCGGACUCCGGCGC